This 21-nucleotide non-coding RNA is filed under the name Caenorhabditis elegans. The record is from RNAcentral. Lineage: Eukaryota; Metazoa; Nematoda; Chromadorea; Rhabditida; Rhabditidae.
UUAUGUUUUGGGUGUUAACAU